UCGCUAGAGGAUCAACUCAUUGCUGCCAACGCUCUGCUGGAGGCUUAUGGUAAUGCCAAGACUGUGAGGAAUGACAACUCAUCUCGUUUUGCAACUCAGUGAGGGUAAACUCAUUAGGAUUCACUUCGGAUCCACUGGAAAACUGGCUUCAGCUGAUAUUGAAACUUAUGUGCUGGAAAAGUCAAGAGUAACAUUCCGGUUGUCUGCUGAGACCAGCUAUAUAUCUUCUGACCAGCUAAUGACCGUACAAAAGCCAGAGCUGCUUGAGGCCCUGCUUAUCACCACCAAUCCUUAUAACUAUCCAAACGAUCAGCCAGCGGGGAACCACUGUCAAGAGUAUCAAUGACGUAGAGGAGUUCAUUGCCACAGAUCGCUGAAGAGAAAAUAAGCAUCUACAAGCUGACAGGUGCUGUGAUGCAUCAUGGAAACAUGAAAUUCAAGCAGAAGCAGAGAGAGGAGCAAGCUGAACUUGAUGGCACUGAAGGAGAGGGCAAUACAUUCUUCACAUAGGGCCAGGGCAAGGAAACAGCCGAGUAUAUCCUCAAGCCUAGAUCACCACAGGAAGUAAUCAUAAAAUAUGAUUACUUGCAGCUGUUUUACUGCUGUAAUAAA
RNA transcript from Sinocyclocheilus rhinocerous, 612 nucleotides. It is a transcript of the gene named myosin heavy chain, fast skeletal muscle-like, with no coding region annotated. The record is from RefSeq and is a predicted model, not a curated record. NCBI's taxonomy places the organism in Eukaryota, Metazoa, Chordata, Actinopteri, Cypriniformes, Cyprinidae. The transcript is spliced from 7 exons.